This 408-nucleotide ribosomal RNA is filed under the name Verrucomicrobiota bacterium. RNAcentral describes it as "Verrucomicrobia bacterium partial 16S ribosomal RNA". It matches the Rfam family "Bacterial small subunit ribosomal RNA", at positions 355 to 776 of the family's 1533-position model. Lineage: Bacteria; Pseudomonadati; Verrucomicrobiota. The record is from RNAcentral.
UGGGGAAUAUUGCACAAUUGGCGGAAGCCUGAUGCAGCGACGCCGCGUGAGGGAUGACGGCCUUCGGGUUGUAAACCUCUUUCAGUAGGGACGAAGCGUAAGUGACGGUACCUGCGGAAGAAGCACCGGCUAACUACGUGCCAGCAGCCGCGGUAAUACGUAGGGGGCGAGCGUUGUCCGGAAUUACUGGGCGUAAAGGGUUCGCAGGCGGCAUGGCAAGUCCGAUGUAAAAGGCGAAGGCUCAACCUUCGUAAGCAUCGGAAACUGUCAAGCUUGAGUGAAGGAGAGGCAAGUGGAAUUCCUAGUGUAGCGGUGGAAUGCGUAGAUAUUAGGAGGAAUACCGGUGGCGAAGGCGACUUGCUGGACUUCAACUGACGCUGAGGAACGAAAGCGUGGGUAGCAAACAGG